Long non-coding RNA from Triticum dicoccoides, 1985 nucleotides. RefSeq lists it as uncharacterized. The transcript has 4 exons. The record is from RefSeq and is a predicted model, not a curated record. NCBI's taxonomy places the organism in Eukaryota, Viridiplantae, Streptophyta, Magnoliopsida, Poales, Poaceae.
CAGAUAUGCCGAUUUUGACACCGACACCUGCCCCACGCCGGCUUCCUCCCCCGAACCACGUUGCGAUGCAACCGCCUCAUCCCCCUCCUCGUUCCCCACCAUCUCAAGCUUCAAUUUUCUCCGCAUCACCGGUAGUUGAUCUGUGGGCAGAACUACGGGCGGCGGCCUGGAGCGGCAGUACGCGAGCUCUGACUCCAUCCCGAGCCAGCCGGCACACCCACUGAGGACGGACCGGAGCAGCCACAACCGGCGUCGCCCGCAGGGCGAGGCCCCAUCCUGCAGGGUGAGGCCUCCCGGCCAGGCCCGCAGUAGGUGCCGGUCGGUGCGCCUUGGCAGAUGCAGGGGAGGCGUAGGUCGCCGGCCCCAGCUCCCCACCCAGUCUAUGGACCGCCGCGUCGUUGCUCUCCAGGAACGCGGCCGCAGAUCCUUCUGAGCUGAGGCGCACCGCAUGGCCAAGCGGGGCGGUGACAACGCGCUAGUGAGCCAGUGCCGGCUGGACCAGAGCAUGACCGGCGCCGCGCGCGCGGUCUGGGGCCUGUAGUUCCUCGACCAGAGCAUGGUCACGCAGGGCAGCUGGCCCGAGGUGGAGAAGUGGUUCGACUGCCUCAUCAUCUACAGCCUGCUCCUCCGCUCGCACUUCAGCCAGUACAUUGGGAUGGUUGGAUCACAGGAAUUCACGGCACAGAUGUUUGAUGCGCUUGUACAGCGAAGGGGGUCGUUGCUCUGGUGCUGACCAAGGAUGAGCUGAGGGAAUUCUGGGAGCAUCUAUCAGAUUCAUGUUCUUGGUUGUUUCAAUUUGUUUCAACCCAUUCAGGUUCAUGGAUUAUAUCACAGAUAACAUCAGAUUCGGUUUGAUUCAACACAAGAGCAGUUGUUUCUGUCAGGUUUUGAUCUGUCAAGUUGUUGUUCAGUCAAGAUCGAAUUUCCGUGACCAAAUGUUCAGAGACCAAAUAAUCUUAGACAUGCUCUUAAUUAUUGGAUCAUGAACUUGCAGUAAUAAACAUGAUAAACAAUACUAGGACCGCCAAGAAACUGUAUUUAGUGAUCUUGUUAAAGAAGCUACAGACACAUCAUUAUAAUGUGCAUUUCAAUCAGACUUGAGAUGCAAAUAACACAGUAGUACAACAGGAUAACUAGACAAGAAGCAUUGGAGAAAAUUACUGUCUAUCCCAGGAUUACUUAUUUGUUUUCAUCACACAUUAGAGAUUUUUGUUCUCCACUUGUGUGUACACUGAAGCUACUAGAUUUGGUACAUUUCCAUCUUUGUUCUUGAUUAUCAGGUCCAUCUUGCAAAGAUUUGGUACUUGUCCAUCUUACAAAUAGAAGAAACAGAGGAUGCUUAUCAGGUCCAUCUUGCAAAGAUGCCUUAGAUCCAGGAAAGAUGAACAAAGAUUUGGUUUCAUUGCAAGUUUUGGACAACAUUCAAGCUUAUCAGGGUGCCAUCACCAAAAGGAUGACAACAAUUGAGGAAAUGGCAGGAAUGGAUGUUCUCUAAUGUGACAAAACUGGAACUCUCACUCUCAACCAUCUUACCGUCGACAAAAACCUAAUCGAGUGAGGAACUCUAAAACUUGAUGGAGCUUGCCGAAGAUCUACUGGUGAGAAGGGGAGUAGAGCUCUGGUAGGAAGAUGGGGAGCAGAGCACCGGCAGGGAGCAGAUCUUCCCCUCCCUGACCGUGAAGGAAAGAACCUCGCUAUGGAGGAGCUCGUCCGUGUGAAGGUGCAGGCUGCAGUGACGCCUGGCCACACUACAGCAAGGAGGAGGGGAAGAUGGAGGCACGGCGCCUGAGCCUGGCAGCGGCAGAGACGGAGAUCUAUGUGCUGGAGCCGGCGACAUUAUCUUGCUGCCGAAGAUGGAGCUCGAGGUGCUGAGUGGCGGGAGCCCAAGGAGAUGGCACCGGCGGCGGGGUCCUAGGGCUGGGGAUCAAGCUCGAGGUGCUGCAUGGAGAAAGCUCGAGGUUCUAGCCUGCCGGAGAUCGAGGUUC